Molecule: ribosomal RNA, 335 nt
Filed under: Orthetrum chrysis
Lineage: Eukaryota; Metazoa; Arthropoda; Insecta; Odonata; Libellulidae
Description: partial 16S ribosomal RNA
Source: RNAcentral
UUGACUGUACAAAGGUAGCAUAAUCAUUAGUCUUUUAAUAGAGGGCUGGAAUGAAAGGUUUCACGAGGAAUUGACUGUCUCAUUUUAUUUGUUUUAAAAUCUAAUUUUUUAGUUAAAAAGCUAAAAUUUUAUUGGUAGACGAGAAGACCCUAUAGAGCUUUACAUAAAUCAUAAAUAAAUAUUUUUAUAUUAAUAUUUUUAUUUAUUUUUAUGUUUUGUUGGGGUGACAAGAAUAUAUAAUUAACUUUUUUAUUUAAAUUACAUUGAUUUAUGAAUAUUAGAUCCAUUUUUAUUGAUUAUUAGACUAAGUUACCUUAGGGAUAACAGCGUAAUAU